This is a long non-coding RNA of Melanotaenia boesemani (Boeseman's rainbowfish), 449 nucleotides long. RefSeq lists it as uncharacterized. The transcript is spliced from 3 exons. The record is from RefSeq and is a predicted model, not a curated record. NCBI's taxonomy places the organism in Eukaryota, Metazoa, Chordata, Actinopteri, Atheriniformes, Melanotaeniidae.
UUCAUAUAGUUAAACAUUUAGUGUUGUUGUUACGAUUUUGAUUAGUUUGAUUUCUUGUAUUAUUUUUGAGUAAUUCUUGUGUUAAGUAAUAAUGAGCUAACUGUUUAGGUUUUGUCUAAUUGUUUAAUGUAUUUGUUAACCCCCCAUGUGUUGUAGACUGGUCUGAUCAGCCAGUAUUUAAGUGUCCCUUUGUUUCAUGUCUGUUAGGUCAGGUUAAUUGUUUUGUUAGGUUAGUUUGGUUCUCUUUGAGUUACAUGCUAAACAGUUAGUUUAAAGUUUCCUGAGUUAUUGUUAUACUUUGGUUUAGUUUUGUUUAUUUGACCUCUUUUAAGGGCCCAAACUUUUUGUGAGUAUUCUUUUGGGUAAAUAAAACCCGCUCUUGUUUUGAAACCAACUGUGUCCUUGCCUUGUACCAGCUCGAUCCAUCACACUUGCUCUGCCUGAAAGAA